CUGUGCAGCCCAUGUUGGAAAAAUGAGCUGUGUUGUGUCACAGACGAAAAAGAGAAAAUUGAGACAUAAUAACAAAUAUUUUAGAUUUUAAUCUCCAGUUUUAUCAGUCUCACGCAUAUAAUUGCUGAUUUUAUAUUUAGAUAUAGAUUUAAACGGUAGAAUUGUUGUAACUAUGUGAUUUCGUUCUCGACUACAAACACAUUGUUUUAUUGGGAUUUUUUUGUAAGUUUCGUCACGUUUCUUGUCAUUAUACAUGUAAUUUUGUGAUCUAACGACUAGCCAUGAAUAAGAUGAAUCUGUAAUAAAUCUGAUUUUCACGUAAAAGAGCCGAAUUUGUUCAAAAUGUAGAUGAGGAAAUGUGUCUUUUGUUCAUCCUGUUUCGCUUUGUUUUGGCCAACA
Molecule: long non-coding RNA, 399 nt
Filed under: Mytilus galloprovincialis (Mediterranean mussel)
Lineage: Eukaryota; Metazoa; Mollusca; Bivalvia; Mytilida; Mytilidae
Source: RNAcentral